RNAcentral lists this ribosomal RNA (499 nucleotides) under uncultured Glomeromycotina. RNAcentral's name for it is "partial small subunit ribosomal RNA". It matches the Rfam family "Eukaryotic small subunit ribosomal RNA", at positions 591 to 1092 of the family's 1831-position model. Lineage: Eukaryota; Fungi; Glomeromycota. The record is from RNAcentral.
CCAAUAGCGUAUAUUAAAGUUGUUGCAGUUAAAAAGCUCGUAGUUGAAUUUCGGGAUCAAUACGUCGGUCGUGCUUCGGUACGUACUGGCGUUAUUGGUUUCUCCUUUCUGACAAGUCGUGAUGUCAUUAAUUUGGUGUCAUGGGGAGUCAGGACUGUUACUUUGAAAAAAUUAGAGUGUUUAAAGCAGGCACACGCUUGAAUACAUUAGCAUGGAAUAAUGAAAUAGGACGUUCGACCCUAUUUUGUUGGUUUCUAGGAUCGACGUAAUGAUUAAUAGGGAUAGUUGGGGGCAUUAGUAUUCAAUUGUCAGAGGUGAAAUUCUUGGAUUUAUUGAAGACUAACUACUGCGAAAGCAUUUGCCAAGGAUGUUUUCAUUAAUCAAGAACGAAAGUUAGGGGAUCGAAGACGAUCAGAUACCGUCGUAGUCUUAACCAUAAACUAUGCCGACUAGGGAUCGGAUGAUGUUAAUUUUAUAAUGACUCAUUCGGCGCCUUACG